AGAGUUUGAUCAUGGCUCAGAUUGAACGCUGGCGGCAUGCCUAACACAUGCAAGUCGAACGGCAGCACAGCAGAGCUUGCCCUGUGGGUGGCGAGUGGCGGACGGGUGAGUAAUGCAUCGGGACCUACCUGAACGUGGGGGAUAACGUAGGGAAACUUACGCUAAUACCGCAUACGUCCUACGGGAGAAAGCGGGGGACCUUCGGGCCUCGCGCGGUCAGACGGACCGAUGUUCGAUUAGCUAGUUGGUAAGGUAAUGGCUUACCAAGGCGACGAUCGAUAGCUGGUCUGAGAGGAUGAUCAGCCACACUGGAACUGAGACACGGUCCAGACUCCUACGGGGCGCAGCAG
RNAcentral lists this ribosomal RNA (350 nucleotides) under uncultured bacterium. RNAcentral describes it as "bacterial SSU rRNA". It matches the Rfam family "Bacterial small subunit ribosomal RNA", at positions 8 to 354 of the family's 1533-position model. The record is from RNAcentral.